CUGAAAACUUCAAAAUGUCCAGGAACUGAUAUAGAAAUAGGAGAAUGAUGAUUUUGGAUAAAUUCACAUUUUAUUUAUUUUAUUUGAAAGUAAAAAAAAAAGAGGACAGCAGGGACUGGGCAAGGCAGAGACCACAAGCCAGGAACUCAAUAUGGGUCCAUCAUAGGCAGCACAGGGACCCAAGUACGUGAGCCAUCACCUGCUGACCCAGUUGGGGUGCAUUACCAGAGAGCUUGGAUCAGGAACAGAGUGAUGAUCCUGAAUCCACGGACUCAAGUAAGGUAUGUUAGUGUCCUUGCAGCACCUUAACUGCUGUGAUAAAUAUGUGACCAUUUUUAAGAAAAUCAAAAAAUGUUAAAAUGUAUUUUCACAUUUAGUGAAUUUUAACUGUUUGGCACUCACUUGAUUUUCACCAACCAAUCCCAGACACAAAGCCAGGUGUCCUGGGCAGGGUGGCCAACAACAGCCAGAGGAGCCACGGAUAGAGACAGUGUCCCUAGAUGCCGUGCCCAUCCUGCGUGGCCACCACUGACACAGCUUCAUCCUCAGCAACUCUGCGAAGACCUCCAGGUCGGUGUGCAGCCCAACAUGGCCGGGCUGCAGGAGGCAGGUAGUAAGUGAUCUCCCCGCAAGAGCAGGGAAUGGACAAAUCACUUUUCCUCUAAAAAUCCCACUCCUCAACACACGACCCUUGGUGAUGAAAGCCCUGCUCCAACAGCCUAUUGCCCAAGGCCUUUCUAAACGGGGCCUUGCGGUCAACUAGGAUAUCUCCAUGUCCUGACGGCAGCUUCCAGGGAGAAUGUUCCCUUUCGCGGGAAAGCCAGCUCCCAGCCGGGAUUCUGGCGGGAAUGGACCACUUCCGCCCUCUGUACGCAUGCUCUGCAGCGCUGGCGGGCUCCUCUCCCUUCCCUGUGUGGCGCUGUCUUUCAGGCUCUUCCGAAUGCGGCCCUUCCGUCAUCCAUUUAGAUUGUUUAGGUUCUCCAGGGAGUCCUACCAGAUGGUUAGGAAACGCCCUUCCUGACCUCCAUCUUUGCCGUCAUAGGCCUUUCUACAGCGUGCAGUUUUCUUCUCCAUUCCAUGUGCCUGCACCUCUUGCCAUAACUCCCACUGGUAUCAUCAAGCCACCAACUCAGAAGCCAGGUAACACCAGUAGAGGCACAGAAAACUGAGAGAGAAAACUGAAGAAAACCAGCUAAUGAAGAUUGAUAAUCAGGUUACUUUUAUGUGCAAUGAGAGCACACCUCUGCUGUACAUAAUAUAGAACAAACACAUCCAGAGCUGUCCCAGACCAGGAGAGAAAAUGGUGAAAUAUUUGUCUUGAGUCAGAGUGCAUUUUUGGCGGGGAUACUUCUGAGGGGAUUAUCUCUAGAGCUUCAAGCUUAUACUGUUUACCCAUAAGCCAAACAUCACAUCACAAAUAUCUCAUAAUUACAUUGUAUUAGAAUAUCAGGCAUUUGCUAGAGAUACAAACUAGGCAUUGAGAACAUCCGUCAAACCUUCGGUGCUAUGGCAUAUUUGGUAAAGCACGGC
Molecule: long non-coding RNA, 1530 nt
Filed under: Oryctolagus cuniculus (rabbit)
Lineage: Eukaryota; Metazoa; Chordata; Mammalia; Lagomorpha; Leporidae
Description: lncRNA (ENSOCUG00000037622.1)
Source: RNAcentral